GAUGAACGCUGACAGAAUGCUUAACACAUGCAAGUCAACUUGAACUUCGGUUUGGGUGGCGGACGGGUGAGUAACGCGUACAGAACUUGCCUCACAGAUAGGGACAACAUUUGGAAACGAAUGCUAAUACCUGAUAUUAUGAUUAUAUGGCAUCGUAUAAUUAUGAAAGCUAUAUGCGCUGUGAGAGAGCUUUGCGUCCCAUUAGCUAGUUGGAGAGGUAACGGCUCACCAAGGCGAUGAUGGGUAGCCGGCCUGAGAGGGUGAUCGGCCACAAGGGGACUGGGACACGGCCCUUACGCCUACGGGAGGCAGCAGUGGGGAAUAUUGGACAAUGGACCAAGAGUCUGAUCCAGCAAUUCUGUGUGCACGAUGAAGUUUUUCGGAAUGUAAAGUGCUUUCAGUUGGGAAGAAAAAAAUGACGGUACCAACAGAAGAAGUGACGGCUAAAUACGUG
Molecule: ribosomal RNA, 454 nt
Filed under: uncultured bacterium
Lineage: Bacteria
Description: partial 16S ribosomal RNA
Rfam family: Bacterial small subunit ribosomal RNA
Source: RNAcentral